Molecule: long non-coding RNA, 664 nt
Filed under: Lactuca sativa (garden lettuce)
Lineage: Eukaryota; Viridiplantae; Streptophyta; Magnoliopsida; Asterales; Asteraceae
Description: long non-coding RNA (LSAT_LNC009633)
Source: RNAcentral
CAAUACCGAAGAAGUGAAAGAUUCACCAAACGUUGUUACUUCGUUAGCUGAAAAGGAAGAGCCAAAGAUCGAAGACACACCAUCUCCACCAACCGUUGAAGUGCCUGUAACUGUAACUGAAGAAACAUGCAAGGAAACCAUAACUGAACCUAUUACUGUUGAAGACGUGAAGAAGGUUGAAGAGGAAGAAACCCCGAAGACUGAAGUGAUCGUUGAGGAUAUAAAAACCGAAGUUCCAGCCGUUGAAGCAGAAGAAAAGGUAACCGAACCCAUUGCAGCCGAAGAAAACGUAACUGAACCCGUUGCAUCAGAAGAAAAGGUCACUGAACCCAUUGAAGCAGAAGAAAAGAUAACUAUUACACCUGUUGAAGCAGAAGAAAAGGCAAUUGAAACCGUUGAAGCAGAAGAAAAAGUAACUGAACCUGCUGAAGUAGAAGAAGCAAAGAUUGAAGUAAUGGCUACCGAUAACGAAACCAAAGUGCCUUCAGUUGAAGUAGAAGAAAAGAUAACCGAACCAGUUAACAUUGAAGAAAAGCCAACGACUGAGGUGGCGGCAGUUGAAGAAACCCCAGUUACUAAAGUUGAAUCGGAAGAAAAGAAGGUUGAAGCAAUAUCGGAAGAGAUAAAGACCGAGGAGACUAAAGAUGGCGUUGAAGAGGUGGUG